CAGGGACAGAUCAAAUAGGACUGCUCCGUGGUCAGAGGGAUGAGAAAGCAUGAGUGUGUGGGGGAGGAUAACACAGUUAAACCUGGCAGAAGACCAAGACAAAGGCUUUCAGCACUGGCAGAAAUCCACAGAUAUGUUCACCUUGUUCUUUGUUCCCUGCCAGACCACCCACAGGAGCAGCUGCCAUCAUGCCUGUUCACUGCGCAGAUCUGCAGUCUACUCGUGAUUUUAACUUAUAUGGCCAAAAUUAUGUGCACAUCUGAUCCUCACACUGAUAUGAGCUUUUUGGACAAGCAAAAUACAUGGUUUCAAAAAUAGAGUUGAUUUAUGUCUGUAGCAGCCUCCAUAUCUGGGAAGACCUUUCGCAAGACUCCGGAGUCUUUGUGGGACAUUUUUUGCCUAUUGAAUCAAAAGAGAUUUCUUGAGAUCAGGCACUGAUAUUGGGCAAGAGAGACUGACUCAUGUUCAGACAUGUUUAGUGAUGUUGAGGUCAGGGCUCUCUGUGCAGACCUCUGGAGUUCCUCUACACACAACUCAAAUAAAGUUUUUAUGGACCUGGAAAAAAGGCCCUUGCCCAAACGUUUGCCACAGUUUGAAGCAUAUAGUUGUUAAUAAUGUUUGUGUGCUGUAGCAUUAAUAUUACCCUUCACUGGAACUAAGGGGCCUGCCCACCCCUGGAAAGAGCCCCACUGCAAUAUCCCUCCUCCACUAAACUGUUCUGUAGGAACUGUAAAUUCCAUUACGUGUUGUUGUCCUGGCAUCCGCCAAACCCUGUUUCACCCAUCAGACUGUCAGACAGUGAAAGGUAUUUCACAAUUUUAGCAAACCCUUCCUCACUGCUGCAUAGCGUAGUGACAGUGUCCUGUACACUGCCCCACCUUAGAACGCGGCAUUGCACGUAGUGAUUAGGCCAAGGAAAUCCAUUUACAAAGCAGCUUGGAACUCUCUCAGAAGUGAUGCAUCAGGUACACUUCAGUACUCAGCAGAUGAAACUACUGACAUGACUUUGGUGUUCACUUUGGCCAUAGCGUACAUACACGGGACAUCCUUAAUAGUGUGAAGAUAGUUUUCUGUUCAUGAGCAAUUUCCAGAAUUUAAUGUGUCAUCUGUUUCGUGAGCAACAUAUGGGAAAACAAUAACAUCUGCAGCUGGCCACGUGGACUUUAAAUGCCAAGAAUUCAAUCUUUCCCAAACCAGUCUUGGUGGACUCACUGUGGAAACAGUGGCCCCUAUAAAGAUACAUAGUACAGGCAAAGACCUACCAAAAAAAUGCAGCUAAUAUCCUAAGGGUAGAACCCAAGUGUUUCAACAACGCAUAUUUCACAAGUGAUUAUUGGUCAUUCCUUGUACACUUCAAUAUUUCUGCAGAUAUGGCAAGGAUUUGGCCUGUGCAGGUGAGAGACUCAAGGUCUGUCUUAUAAAAGCCGCGAUCGCACAGCUGGGGUUGGUUUUGGACACAUGGUCGGCACAGAAUGGAGAUUCUCCCACUAGCCCUGUGGACUAUGUGAAACAUUCCUGUAGGAAACCUGUUUCACACAAAAUUAACUGUAUUACUCCGCAAAGAGAGCAAGAGAAGCAAAAAAGCAGAGGUGAGUUAGCUCAGAGGACCACAGCUGCCCUGUGAGCAGGUACCACAGACUCUCUCUCUUCCUCUGUAUGCCAGAUACUGGCCUCUGCAUUCGCCUGAAGAGCCCUGAGCACAUGUCUAAAUUCUGCAUAGCAACCAAGCUCAGUCCUGUCAAAUCUGUAACAGCUUCCUCUGCUGAUGUGGACAACUACACUUACAAAUGGAAAUGCAUAGAAUUAAAAAAAAAAAAAAACAAGGAAAGCAAAGGAAGUAGUUACCAACUUCAGCUUGGACUGGCGUGUCUGCUAUUACAGCUAAACUCUCAAACCUGGAGGUGACUCUUAAUAUAGAGAAAAUAAAAGCUUAACGUUUCCCAUGAGACAUGUCAUUAGACCUAAAUGUAUUUUCUCAUGACUUCUAUGGCAGCCUCCUACUUGAGUGUUAGAUGUGGGAGGGUUACAGGUCACAGGUCAUAUCUGCAGAAUAUAUUUGUAUCCACACAAUGCAUACGCGUAACUACACAGUAUCUACACAGUAACUCUGUUGGGAUCAUAAUUUUUUGAUUCCACUGCCAUUUUGAUUCUGACUUAGUAUUUCCUCCUCUGGAAAGGUCGUGAGUCAUUGUAAAGAUAAGCAAGAACAAUACACAAACACGAACGUGAACACUGAUUAUUCAUUUUAGGAGAUAAUUAAAGAGAGGAGAUUAUUACAUUUAGGAGAUUAAUAAACAGGAGAUUAUUAAACAUAACACUGGGUGGCCCGAGUGCCGAAGGGCGAGGGGCAGGACGCACAGGCUCCAACGACGUGGACGAACAUUUAUUAACACAUAAAGACAACGGCACUCACACGUUACAAACAAAGAACAUGAACAUGAAACGAUUAACACUAAAUGAACACAAUAAACACGUAUACAUCUAACAAUGACGAGUAUAACUUUUAACAUUACCAUUGACAACACACCACAUUAACGUGUUACAUCAACAAUGACCAACUCUCUGCACACUUUGACACGGGUUUAAAUAC
Molecule: non-coding RNA, 2590 nt
Organism: Electrophorus electricus (electric eel)
Lineage: Eukaryota; Metazoa; Chordata; Actinopteri; Gymnotiformes; Gymnotidae
Source: RefSeq, a predicted model, not a curated record